RNAcentral lists this transfer RNA (72 nucleotides) under Camelus bactrianus (Bactrian camel). It matches the Rfam family "tRNA". Rfam says of the family: Transfer RNA (tRNA) molecules are approximately 80 nucleotides in length. Their secondary structure includes four short double-helical elements and three loops (D, anti-codon, and T loops). The record is from Rfam by way of RNAcentral. RNAcentral also lists the same sequence under 2 other names. Lineage: Eukaryota; Metazoa; Chordata; Mammalia; Artiodactyla; Camelidae.
GAGGGUAUAGCUCAGUGGUGGAGCACGUGCUUAGCAUGUAGGAGGUCCUGGGUUCAAUCCCCAGUCUCUCCA